This 403-nucleotide ribosomal RNA is filed under the name uncultured bacterium. Its description in RNAcentral is "partial 16S ribosomal RNA". It matches the Rfam family "Bacterial small subunit ribosomal RNA", at positions 29 to 526 of the family's 1533-position model. The record is from RNAcentral.
AUUGAACGCUGGCGGCAGGCCUAACACAUGCAAGUCGAACGAGUGGCGGACGGGUGAGUAAUGUCUGGGAAACUGCCUGAUGGAGGGGGAUAACUACUGGAAACGGUAGCUAAUACCGCAUACCAUCAGAUGUGCCCAGAUGGGAUUAGCUAGUUGGUGGGGUAACGGCUCACCAAGGCGACGAUCCCUAGCUGGUCUGAGAGGAUGACCAACCACGGGGGUAAUGAGACACGGUGCAGACUCCGACGGGAGGCAGCAGUGGGGAAUAUGGCAUAAUGGGCGCAAGGCUAAUGCAGCCAUGCCGCGGGUAUGAAGAAGGCCGUAGGGUUGUAAAGUACUGUCAGCGGGGAGGCGUUACCCGCAGAAGAAGCACCGGCUAACUCCGUGCCAGCCGCGGUAAUAC